AUGAUAGUUCGGCUAUCCAGACACCCCUUAGUCCAGGACUCCCUCAGCGUCGCCCAUGGAGCUCGCGGUGAGGGCCGCGACGGCUUCCUGCUCCUGCUCCCCGUCGCUCCAUCCCCACGCGCCCCCUGCCUCCUUGGCCGCAGCCCGGGCCUGCCGCUGCCGGCUCGCCAGGUGACCGCCGCCGUGGCGGCAAUCGCCCUCGACCCGGAGAUCAAAACCGAGCUGAAUGACGCCUCAAAAAACGAGGUGUUCGCAUGCCCUGUUUGCUAUGAACCGCUGAUAAGGAAAGGGCCGCCAGGCAUGAACCUGCCAGCGAUUUAUAGGUCCGGAUUCAAGUGUUCAAAAUGCAACAAGUCAUUCACCAGCAAAGAUGUCUUCUUGGAUCUUUUCACCCAAUCAGGAUUGAAAGAAUACAGUGAACUCAAGACUGCUUGAACCGAGCUGUGCAGGAGCCCGCUUGUCUCCUUUCUUUGUGAGAGGGGGUGGUGUCAGAACUUCAAUCGGAGUGGCUUCCUUGGCCGUGACGAAGAGUUCCAAAUGUCUCAAGAUUAUUUCCAACCAUUUGCUGGUGGUAUAAUCGUUGAUGUCAACUGUGGCAGUGGCUUGUUACCAAAGAAGUUUGCAAGCUCUUGGGUAUACUCAGCUGUGAUUGCUUUGGACUUUUCUGAGAAUAUGUGCCAAUGCUAUGACUACAUCAAGCAAGACGAUACCACCCUGCAUAAAGCAAGCCAUGCCACUAUUUAUCAAGCAAUGUUGUGUUGUCCUGUCAAUGGUGGGCCCUGCAGCGAAUGGAAUGGUCAAGGUCCACUGAGUCCCCUCUUCGUGAGUAAGUAA
This 834-nucleotide ribosomal RNA is filed under the name Triticum aestivum (bread wheat). RNAcentral's name for it is "partial small subunit ribosomal RNA". Lineage: Eukaryota; Viridiplantae; Streptophyta; Magnoliopsida; Poales; Poaceae. The record is from RNAcentral.